This 1281-nucleotide long non-coding RNA is filed under the name Homo sapiens (human). RNAcentral describes it as "HSALNT0081376". Lineage: Eukaryota; Metazoa; Chordata; Mammalia; Primates; Hominidae. The record is from RNAcentral.
GUUUUCCUUUGACUAACACUUGAAGAAUAAUUUUCAUUUUAGUUCUAGAAGUAACCUUCUGUUACUCUCACUUAGGUGCUCUUUUGGGCCUAAAUAUAAUUAGAUCCUUCGCCGUUGUUUUGAGGUAAAUCUAAACGAAAAGGAACACCUGUUAACAGGUAGUGAUGCCGCAGGAAAGUGCUGGGAAGGGAAUGCUGGGAAGGGAAGGGCGUGGUCCCUUUAAAUGAUAAGGAAGGGGGGCGGGAAGUGCUGGGUAGAGGAGGGCGUGGUCCCCAGCUAGGGCUUCAUCCCUGGGCCUGGGCCUACCUAGGUGAAGACAGGCAUUUUUGUUUUCCUGCCCGGAUGUUGCAUUUCCCAAGACCACCCUGGCCUGCCAUGCCCUCAUCCUGUGCCUUUAAAAACCCCCGAGACCCUGGCAGGCAGACGCACAAGCAGCUGGACAUUGAGAGGAGCAUAUAGGCAGAGAAUACAGGGGCUGCUGGAUGUCGAAAGGAACGCACCAGCAUAGGAGCACACCGGCAUGCUGGCAGGCCAUUGACCAGCGGAAGAAUGCAGAGUUUGUCGCGGGAGGUCAGAGAAGAGUCAGGCCGCCAUACCUGACUCCAGGAGAAAACCGUCUCCCUUCUGGUUCCCCCGUCUGCCGAGAGCUACUUCCACUCAAUAAAACUUUCCACUCAUUCUUCAAGCCCACGUGUGAUCCAAUUCUUCCCGUACACCAAGGUCUCGCUGUGUUUCCCAGGCUGGGUGCAGUGGCUAUUCAAAGGUACAAUGAUAGCUCACUGCAGCCUGGAACUCCUGGACUCAAGCGAUCCUCCUGCCUCAGCUGCGACUAACAGGUCAAAACAGUCACAAGCCUGCUCAAAUUCGGAAAGAGGGGACGGAAAUGGAACCUCUUCAUGGGAGGAAGAAACAGGGUCUUGCUCUGUUGCCCUGGCUGGAGUGCAAUGGUAUGAUCAUAGCUCACAGUAGCCUUGAACUCCUGGGCCCAAGCCAUCCUCCUACCUCAGCAACCAGAGUAGCUGGGAUUACAGGCGAAUGCCACCACACCUGGGUAAUUUCUUUUUCUUUUUCUUCUUGUUUUUAUUAGAGAUAGGAUCAUGCUAUGUUGCCCAAGCUGGUCUUGAACUUCUGGCCUCCAGCAGUCCUCCUGCCUGAGCCUCCCAAGUAGCUGGGAUUACAGGCAUGAGCCACCAGUCCUGGCAGAUUUGUUAAUUUCUUUGAAUUAUUAUAUAUUUUUAAGUUUACUUCCAUGUAUUUGACUUUUUGUGUGCUUAUAACUGG